This 253-nucleotide ribosomal RNA is filed under the name uncultured bacterium. RNAcentral describes it as "partial 16S ribosomal RNA". It matches the Rfam family "Bacterial small subunit ribosomal RNA", at positions 524 to 776 of the family's 1533-position model. The record is from RNAcentral.
UACGUAGGUGGCAAGCGUUGUCCGGAUUUACUGGGCGUAAAGGAUGCGUAGGCGGACAUUUAAGUCAGAAGUGAAAUACCCGAGCUUAACUUGGGUGCUGCAUUUGAAACUGGGUGUCUAGAGUGCAGGAGAGGUAAGUGGAAUUCCUAGUGUAGCGGUGAAAUGCGUAGAGAUUAGGAAGAACACCAGUGGCGAAGGCGACUUACUGGACUGUAACUGACGCUGAGGCAUGAAAGCGUGGGGAGCAAACAGG